GACAGAGGGUGCGAACGUUGUUCGGAAUUACUGGGCGUAAAGCGCAUGUAGGCGGCAGCGCAAGUCGGGCGUGAAAUCCCACGGCUCAACCCGUGGAAGUGCACUCGAAACUGCGCAGCUAGAGUCCUGGAGAGGAAGGUGGAAUGCUUGGUGUAGAGGUGAAAUUCGUAGAUAUCAAGCGGAACACCGGUGGCGAAGGCGGCCUUCUGGACAGUGACUGACGGCUGAGAUGCGAAAGCGUGGGGAGCAAACAGGG
This 256-nucleotide ribosomal RNA is filed under the name uncultured bacterium. RNAcentral's name for it is "partial 16S ribosomal RNA". It matches the Rfam family "Bacterial small subunit ribosomal RNA", at positions 524 to 777 of the family's 1533-position model. The record is from RNAcentral.